Long non-coding RNA from Homo sapiens (human), 276 nucleotides. RefSeq lists it as uncharacterized. The record is from RefSeq and is a predicted model, not a curated record. The transcript has 3 exons. Lineage: Eukaryota; Metazoa; Chordata; Mammalia; Primates; Hominidae.
AGAGCUGGCCAGCCCCUGCAGCAGGGUGGGAGCAUUAGGACAUGUCCACACGUCUUCAAGGGAAAAUGGCUAAGGGCUGUCAGAGAGGCCCAGGGAAGAGGCCUGGGUAGGGGCGAGCAGGGAGCAGACAAUCACUUGUUGAAGGAAGAUCCAAGUCCAGGAAGGAACGUAGGGCAGUUUGGUGUCAUGGAACUGGGGGCCCAGCCGAGGGGCUCAAGAGCCCUUCAGACUCUGCCUGAGCGAGGGUGGUGCUCUGUCACCCAGGCUGGAGUGUAG